UUUCCGUAAGCAAUUUCCCUCUCUCAAUACUUUCCAACAAUUACUAACUAUUUUGUAGGUAGGUGAACCUGCGGAAGGAUCAUUCAUAAUAAGUGUUUUAUGGCACUUUUUUAAAUCCAUAUCCACCUUGUGUGCAAUGUCAGGGUUGAUUUUUCUCUCGAGAGGAUCAGCCCCAAACAUCAACUAUAUCUCAACUCUUUGUCUGAAAAAUAUUAUGAAUAAAACAAUUCAAAAUACAACUUUCAACAACGGAUCUCUUGGCUCUC
RNAcentral lists this unclassified non-coding RNA (266 nucleotides) under plant metagenome. RNAcentral describes it as "partial contains small subunit ribosomal RNA, internal transcribed spacer 1, and 5.8S ribosomal RNA". The record is from RNAcentral.